CGCAUCUGUGCAUGCAGCAUAUCAAUAAGCGGAGGAAAAGAAACUAACAAGGAUUCCCCUAGUAACGGCGAGUGAAGCGGGAAGAGCUCAAAUUUGAAAUCUUAAAGGGUUUCCCUUUACGAAUUGUAGUUUAAAGAAGUGUUUUCUGUUGAGGUUUUGGUAAAAAGUUCUUUGGAAUAGGACAUCAUAGAGGGUGAGAAUCCCGUAUUUGACCUUUACUUUCAACUUUGUGAUACACUUUCAAAGAGUCGGAUUGUUUGGGAAUGCAGUCCAAAAUGGGUGGUAAAUUUCAUCUAAAGCUAAAUAUUGGCGAGAGACCGAUAGCGAACAAGUACCGUGAGGGAAAGAUGAAAAGAACUUUGAAAAGAGAGUUAAACAGUACGUGAAAUUGUCAAAAGGGAAGCGUUUGACACCAGUGUUGUUUUUCUGAAAAUCAAUUAAAGAACUGUUUAUGCUAAGCUGUUUAGACUUUAUCAGCUAUCUGUUUAGUUUUGAGCUUUUCUUUAAUGCACUUUUCAGUUAACAAGUCAACAUCAAUUUCUUUUGCUGUAAAAAAGCUUGAGGAAGGUGGCUUGAGAUUCGUCUUAAGUGUUUAUAGCCUCUUGCCUAUGCAGUCGGAGAGAUUGAGGUCUGCAGCGUAGAUCCUUCGGGGCUAAAUGCAUUUGUGCUAAGUUAUAGCAUUUUAUAGACAACUUGUUGACUAUGAUUUGUCUUGUAGCUUACUCGCUUAUGUUAUUUUACCUACGCUUAGGAUGUUGACAGCAGUAUAGACUGU
RNAcentral lists this ribosomal RNA (775 nucleotides) under uncultured Neocallimastigales. RNAcentral's name for it is "partial large subunit ribosomal RNA". It matches the Rfam family "Eukaryotic large subunit ribosomal RNA", at positions 26 to 634 of the family's 3401-position model. Lineage: Eukaryota; Fungi; Neocallimastigomycota; Neocallimastigomycetes; Neocallimastigales. The record is from RNAcentral.